RNAcentral lists this unclassified non-coding RNA (327 nucleotides) under soil metagenome. RNAcentral describes it as "partial contains 5.8S ribosomal RNA, internal transcribed spacer 2, and large subunit ribosomal RNA". The stretch from base 1 to 120 matches the Rfam family "5.8S ribosomal RNA", at positions 35 to 154 of the family's 154-position model. The record is from RNAcentral.
GAUGAAGAACGCAGUGAAAUGCGAUAAUUAAUGUGAAUUGCAGAAUUUAGUGAAUCAUCGAAUCUUUGAACGCACAUUGCGCCCCUUGGUAUUCCGAGGGGCAUGCCUGUUCGAGCGUCAUUUUGACCACUCCCGCUUGCGGGGUCUUGGGCCUUCGCCUCUGGGCGGGCCUUAAAAUCAGUGGCGGUGCCGUCCGGCUCUAAGCGUAGUAAAUCUCCUCGCUAUAGGGUUCCGGAGGGAUGCUGGCCAACAACCCCCAACUUUUAAGGUUGACCUCGGAUCAGGUAGGGAUACCCGCUGAACUUUAGCAUAUCAAUAAGCGGAGGA